GCCUGGCGGCGGCUACACAUGCAAGUCGAGCGGUAGAGAGGUGCUUGCACCUCUUGAGAGCGGCGGACGGGUGAGUAAUGCCUAGGAAUCUGCCUGGUAGUGGGGGAUAACGUUCGGAAACGGACGCUAAUACCGCAUACGUCCUACGGGAGAAAGCAGGGGACCUUCGGGCCUUGCGCUAUCAGAUGAGCCUAGGUCGGAUUAGCUAGUUGGUGGGGUAAUGGCUCACCAAGGCGACGAUCCGUAACUGGUCUGAGAGGAUGAUCAGUCACACUGGAACUGAGACACGGUCCAGACUCCUACGGGAGGCAGCAGUGGGGAAUAUUGGACAAUGGGCGAAAGCCUGAUCCAGCCAUGCCGCGUGUGUGAAGAAGGUCUUCGGAUUGUAAAGCACUUUAAGUUGGGAGGAAGGGCAGUUACCUAAUACGUGAUUGUCUUGACGUUACCGACAGAAUAAGCACCGGCUAACUCUGUGCCAGCAGCCGCGGUAAUACAGAGGGUGCAAGCGUUAAUCGGAAUUACUGGGCGUAAAGCGCGCGUAGGUGGUUUGUUAAGUUGGAUGUGAAAUCCCCGGGCUCAACCUGGGAACUGCAUUCAAAACUGACAGGCUAGAGUAUGGUAGAGGGGUGGUGGGAAUUUCCUGUGUAGGGGUCAAAUGCGGUAGAUAUAACAUGGAACACCGGUGGGCAAAAGCGGAGCACCUGGACU
This 708-nucleotide ribosomal RNA is filed under the name Pseudomonas sp. RNAcentral's name for it is "bacterial SSU rRNA". It matches the Rfam family "Bacterial small subunit ribosomal RNA", at positions 35 to 735 of the family's 1533-position model. The record is from RNAcentral. Lineage: Bacteria; Pseudomonadati; Pseudomonadota; Gammaproteobacteria; Pseudomonadales; Pseudomonadaceae.